This 22-nucleotide microRNA is filed under the name Gallus gallus (chicken). Its description in RNAcentral is "gga-miR-1778". The record is from miRBase by way of RNAcentral. Lineage: Eukaryota; Metazoa; Chordata; Aves; Galliformes; Phasianidae.
GAGGGAAGAGAAAUGGUCUGCU